RNAcentral lists this long non-coding RNA (3238 nucleotides) under Nicotiana tabacum (common tobacco). RNAcentral's name for it is "long non-coding RNA (NTAB_LNC012169)". The record is from RNAcentral. Lineage: Eukaryota; Viridiplantae; Streptophyta; Magnoliopsida; Solanales; Solanaceae.
UCAAACGACCUUUCCAGAGAAGAUAAUUCAAAUUCUGCUAGUGCUUAAGGUUGCCUAUCCACAAAAAUAGUUCAGGUAAAAAUCAAUUUAAUGCAAUCAAACGGUUGACCAAAAAGAAGAUUCCAAAAGAAAAACCAAACAAUUAUUCCUAGGAAUUUUUUCAAGGGAAAAUAUGAUAGAUCGGUUGUUUACACAUGCUAUAUAUAUAGUUCUGCUUUCAUGCAUACCUGCCAUUCACAUUCAUGAAGAGCCGCCCCGCCUCUUCAUCAACCUGUUUAGUUAUCUUUUCCCGCAUUUAGACUACCACUGGUAAGAUUUUCCAUUUAGAGGUCUGCAAAAUAACCAAGACAGACCCCAACAGCCAAAACAGACCCAAACUUUACACAUACUCUAUCUAAGACCGGUUUCUUCUUCCUCUUGUUGCACGUUUCUGCUUUAUUUCUUUAGAAUUUUUUGGUUCCUUCUUUGCUCUAACUCAAACAGCAAUUCCUCUUAUUAGCCCCCAGCAGGAUAAGCUAAUAAAACUUAAAUGGACUGAGUUCCAGAAGAUUUUUGAAGAAGACAUGGAGGGGGCGGAAGAAUCCGUAAGUAUCUGCUUUUUACGCUUUGAGUAAUAUUGACUUAUUCUGAAUCUGACAACUUCUUUCAAACUUUGUUUGUAGUGGACUAUUAGAGAUGAAGAUAAAAUCCUGAUCAGAGCCCUGGUUGAAGUAGUUAAAGAGGUAAAACUCUCUCAACAGAAAUUUUAAAACAAAACAGAAGACAAAAGGCAUACUAACAUUUGAAGUUUGCAGGAGAAGAAACAUAACGACAUAUGCAUGUACACUCCAAACAGCACAAGCAAUGUGUAAGCUUUCUUAACCCUUCCAAGUACUUUUGAAAAACAACGAAUCUAUGGACGACUGUUUCACCUUAAAACUUUUGGAAAAGAAUUGUUUUUUCAAUUGGAUGUUUUCCAGAACUUAAAAAAAAAAAUUUAGUCGCAACACUUUACUUUGCUAACUAACAACAUUGAACUCUCAAGUUAUCAAUGACACCUCUAUUAUGAAGGCAGUGUAACAGUAUCCUGAAAGCACCAUGUCCUGGACUAAUAACUCAACAUUUUUUAUCUUUCAGCUCGGGCAAACAUUUCUUUUUCCACGACCAUUCAGAUAGAAGAAUCUUCAUGUUGGUCUACGAAAUGAAGAAGUAAGAUGGUUCAAUGUACUUCAAUGAUAUUAUUUUUAGUUAGAUCAAAAACCUUGUUCUAUCCCUUAAGGUUUUAUAUCAUAUUCUUAAUGUUCUACUACCUGCAUAACUUAUUCUUCUUUGUACUGAAAUUCUAGAUUCUGUUAUUGCCGAUUAUACUUUAUCAAAUUUCAUACAUAAUUCUUGAGGUAAGGUUAUUGCUCUUUGUUCUUAAUUGGUUUGUAUUCUAAAUUAGAACUAAAUAUAACAUCUUAAGGAAGAAGUGGAUGUUUAAAGAGCACAAGGAUUCUGCAUGGAACAAUGCAAAGUAGUGUAGGUUUAUGGUAUAAAGAAUUACCACAAACAGUAAAGGAGGAACUUUACUAAUUAGCAGAAAAAAGAACAGUAACGGAUUUAUUGACUACAUUGGAAAGUACCAGAAGAUUUGAAGUUUGAGGACAAGACUUGGAUAGUGAAGAAAAAGAAUAAUAUCUCUCUCCAUAUGUGGCUGAAAUAACAUCUCCCCGUGGCAGGUUGACACUAAUUAACAGCAUCUUGGCCAGCAUGCCAACUUUCUUCAUGCCCCUUUUCCCUACUACCUACAAGGGUUUUAAAGCAGCUGGACUAAAUAAGGAGAAUUUCUCUUUGGGAAGGAUGUAGCACUCAACACAAGCUCCAUUUGGUUAAAUAUUCUAAUGUAAUCCAAAAAAAAGGGACAAUAUUCUUUUUUUAAUACAAAGAAAACUAUUCUUUGUUGUUCUGCAGUUUUUUUCUAAGAUUAAAAUAAUAUAUGCUAUAAUUUUAUUGUAUUCUUGUAUAAGCACAGAGUCAUAUAGUUUUCUACAAGGUCCACAAUAUACUACUCUGAGUAUUUCUAUAUAUGUCAAUGAAGAUUCAUCAUAUUUUAUGUCCUAUCGAAACUUCUGGAAGGAGCAAGAGGAAAAUUUCUUGAAGGAGCAAGAGAAAAAUUUCUUGAAGGAGCAAGGCAACUCAUCAGGUACAAGCGGAAAGGAAAGACAAGCAGCAGAUGAGGAAAACCAACCUUAAUGGAGAAAACUGAUUUUGAUUUUUUCAUACCUAUUGACAGAAAUUAGAAAACAGCUUAAACUUUCAGCUUUAUCAUGACUCAUAAGCAUAAUAUAGUCAUUGAGUUGUAUGUUUAGUAUGUUCAAGCUUAUAGCAUUAUAAAUUCAAAGGAAACAAUAUUCUCAUUAUAUCAUAUAUGCACCAAUUUUCAAAGAAGAAAAUCUGAGUUGCUCUACUACAACAAGAUACAAUAAAAUUCUGUUAUUGUUUACGUUAUAGUAAGAAAAGUUAAGUGUAAUAAUCUUCAUGAACACAAACAACAACAAAGAAAGAAAUUCAGAUCUUAUCAAUACUAGAAAAGGUUUUCAAAGAAAGUAAAACCGAUGCUCAGGAAAAUAGCAUAGAACUUAGAAAUCACAACAGAAAUCCAAAAAGAAAAACACAAAAACAGAAAAUAAUCUUACAGCAAAUUGAAGAAAAAAUCAAUUGAAGCACAUGAUAGGCUAAUCAAGCAAAAUCCCAGAAUUCCCAGAAUUGCCAAAGAUAGAAGAAGAUUGCCAAAGUACCGAAAUGUUCGUAAAAGAAGAUUGCCAAAAAAAUGGAUUUUUUUUUACAGAAGAACCAAUCUUCAACAAAGUGUAAGAAAAGAAAUUCAGAUCUUGUCAAUACUAGAGAAGGUUUUCAAAGAAAACAAAGCAGAUACUCAGGAAAAUAGCAUAGAACUAGAAUUACUGAAUAGAUCUUAAAAGUCAAAAUCCAAAUAAAAUAAACAAAAACAGAUAACAAUCAGAACCCAAACUCAACUUGUUUUCACCUUUCUAAAACAGAUCUUACAGUAGGAUUGAAGAAAAUAUUCAAUUGAAGCACGGCUAAUUAAGCCAAAAUCCACAAUAUUAAAGAACCGAUCUUUAUUGCCCGGGAAUGGAUUUUUAGGCGUUAACGAUAGAGGUGGAGACGGGUCACCGGAUUGAGAGUCUCUUGGGCCGGGUUAAUUAGUUUAGAGCAAUUAUCACUUCUAGGUAUUCGGAAAAAAUUAAUGACAAUC